This 203-nucleotide unclassified non-coding RNA is filed under the name Phlegmacium glaucopus. Its description in RNAcentral is "partial internal transcribed spacer 2". The record is from RNAcentral. Lineage: Eukaryota; Fungi; Basidiomycota; Agaricomycetes; Agaricales; Cortinariaceae.
AUAUAUCAACCUCUUCAAAUUUUGUUUGUCGGGUGUUGGAUUUGGGGGUCUUUUUUGCUGGUCUUGUAUCUACAGGUCAGCUCCCCUGAAAUGCAUUAGCAGAACAAUUUGUGAACCGUUCAUUGGUGUGAUAACUAUCUACGCUUUUGACGUGAAACAGGUUCAGCUUCUAACAGUCCAUUGAAUUGGACAACUUUUCAUUU